AUUGAACGCUGGCGGCAGGCCUAACACAUGCAAGUCGAACGGUAACAGGAAACAGCUUGCUGUUUCGCUGACGAGUGGCGGACGGGUGAGUAAUGUCUGGGAAACUGCCUGAUGGAGGGGGAUAACUACUGGAAACGGUAGCUAAUACCGCAUAACGUCGCAAGACCAAAGAGGGGGACCCUCGGGCCUCUUGCCAUCGGAUGUGCCCAGAUGGGAUUAGCUUGUUGGUGGGGUAACGGCUCACCAAGGCGACGAUCCCUAGCUGGUCUGAGAGGAUGACGAGCCACACUGGAACUGAGACACGGUCCAGACUCCUACGGGAGGCAGCAGUGGGGAAUAUUGCACAAUGGGCGCAAGCCUGAUGCAGCCAUGCCGCGUGUAUGAAGAAGGCCUUCGGGUUGUAAAGUACUUUCAGCGGGGAGGAAGGGAGUAAAGUUAAUACCUUUGCUCAUUGACGUUACCCGCAGAAGAAGCACCGGCUAACUCCGUG
RNAcentral lists this ribosomal RNA (490 nucleotides) under uncultured bacterium. RNAcentral describes it as "partial 16S ribosomal RNA". It matches the Rfam family "Bacterial small subunit ribosomal RNA", at positions 30 to 507 of the family's 1533-position model. The record is from RNAcentral.